Molecule: transfer RNA, 76 nt
Filed under: bacterium
Lineage: Bacteria
Description: tRNA-Thr
Rfam family: tRNA
About the family: Transfer RNA (tRNA) molecules are approximately 80 nucleotides in length. Their secondary structure includes four short double-helical elements and three loops (D, anti-codon, and T loops). Further hydrogen bonds mediate the characteristic L-shaped molecular structure. tRNAs have two regions of fundamental functional importance: the anti-codon, which is responsible for specific mRNA codon recognition, and the 3' end, to which the tRNAs corresponding amino acid is attached (by aminoacyl-tRNA synthetases). tRNAs cope with the degeneracy of the genetic code in two manners: having more than one tRNA (with a specific anti-codon) for a particular amino acid; and 'wobble' base-pairing, i.e. permitting non-standard base-pairing at the 3rd anti-codon position.
Source: RNAcentral
GCUCCUGUAGCUCAGUUGGUAGAGCGCGUCCAUGGUAAGGAUGAGGUCAUCGGUUCAAUUCCGUUCGGGAGCUCCA